AAAUAAGAAGCGAAAUAUUGCAUUCAGUUUCGACCUGAAAAUUGACAAAUUACAAUGUCCUUAUUUA
Molecule: transfer RNA, 67 nt
Filed under: Aiolopus thalassinus
Lineage: Eukaryota; Metazoa; Arthropoda; Insecta; Orthoptera; Acrididae
Description: tRNA-Arg
Source: RNAcentral